This is a long non-coding RNA of Oncorhynchus masou masou (cherry salmon), 665 nucleotides long. RefSeq lists it as uncharacterized. Lineage: Eukaryota; Metazoa; Chordata; Actinopteri; Salmoniformes; Salmonidae. The record is from RefSeq and is a predicted model, not a curated record. The transcript has 2 exons.
UCCUCUGCAUCUCCCUCUCCUCUCUUUCUACUCUCCUGCCCUCUAGUGGACUACCUGCCCAUCAUUGCAGGGCUGGCUGCAGCUGCGGUGGUGAUCCUCUUGGUUGUCUCCUGUUUCACCUACUCCUCUUACUAUAAACACAGGCGCAUGGGCCACUACCAGCUGAAAGACAUGUUGCCACGACGACACAACAACAAACACGUGGUGCAACACAACGGAAUGGACCAGUCCGUUAUGUAGAGGAGGGGUUGGGGUCAGAGCAUGUGAGCAGCGGUUGGAAAUCCUGAUGAGUGGGCGUGGCUCUCCACGUCCUUUAUGUAGAGGUGGGGUUGGAAAUACUGAUGAGUGGGCGUGGCUCUCCACGUCCUUUAUGUAGAGGAGGGGUUGGAAAUCCUGAUGAGUGGGCGUGGCUCUCCACGUCCUUUAUGUAGAGGAGGGGGUUGGAAAUCCAGAUGAGUGGGCGUGGCUCUCCACUCCUUUCCUAUCGCUUCCUCACAGAAAAAAACAUGGCUCCAAAUCACUCCAUUCAUUUAUAUCACAAUUUAAAUCGCAGUUUAAUCUAUUUUUUGGACUACCUGGACCUACCAAUUGUUUUUAAGUAUUGAAACCAAACAAUAUGGAUGUGAAUGAAAGGUAUUUGAAUAAACAUGAAAUGAUGAACAUGA